Molecule: ribosomal RNA, 911 nt
Filed under: uncultured Dechloromonas sp.
Lineage: Bacteria; Pseudomonadati; Pseudomonadota; Betaproteobacteria; Rhodocyclales; Azonexaceae
Description: bacterial SSU rRNA
Rfam family: Bacterial small subunit ribosomal RNA
Source: RNAcentral
CUUCCAUGCAAGUCGAACGGUAACGGGCCUUCGGGUGCCGACGAGUGGCGAACGGGUGAGUAAUGUAUCGGAACGUACCUUUCAGUGGGGGAUAACGUAGCGAAAGUUACGCUAAUACCGCAUAUUCUGUGCGCAGGAAAGCAGGGGAUCGCAAGACCUUGCGCUGAUUGAGCGGCCGAUAUCAGAUUAGCUAGUUGGUGAGGUAAAGGCUCACCAAGGCGACGAUCUGUAGCGGGUCUGAGAGGAUGAUCCGCCACACUGGAACUGAGACACGGUCCAGACUCCUACGGGAGGCAGCAGUGGGGAAUUUUGGACAAUGGGGGCAACCCUGAUCCAGCCAUGCCGCGUGAGUGAAGAAGGCCUUCGGGUUGUAAAGCUCUUUCGGCCGGGAAGCAUCGUAUCAGCUAAUACCUGGUGCGGAUGACGGUACCGGCAUAAGAAGCACCGGCUAACUACGUGCCAGCAGCCGCGGUAAUACGUAGGGUGCGAGCGUUAAUCGGAAUUACUGGGCGUAAAGCGUGCGCAGGCGGUUUUGUAAGACAGGCGUGAAAUCCCCGGGCUCAACCUGGGAACUGCGUUUGUGACUGCAAGGCUAGAGUACGGCAGAGGGGGGUGGAAUUCCACGUGUAGCAGUGAAAUGCGUAGAGAUGUGGAGGAACACCAAUGGCGAAGGCAGCCCCCUGGGUCGAUACUGACGCUCAUGCACGAAAGCGUGGGUAGCAAACAGGAUUAGAUACCCUGGUAGUCCACGCCCUAAACGAUGUCAACUAGGUGUUGGGGUGGGUAAAACCAUUUAGUACCGGAGCUAACGCGUGAAGUUGACCGCCUGGGGAGUACGGCCGCAAGGUUAAAACUCAAAGGAAUUGACGGGGACCCGCACAAGCGGUGGAUGAUGUGAUUAUUUCGAUGCA